AAGUACUUGUUGCUGGACUCAUGCAGAUGGAUGGAACCCAAUGAUAGAUGGCAUAACACCUAGUAACAGAGGGGCCCGUCUCUGGACGGAGAAGGGUGAUGACGUACAUUUUAAAGUCAUAAGUAAAGUCUGUCACACACCCUAAUGCGUGGUUGAUCAUCGUGUCAGAAAUCCAUGACUGGGUUGGCACAGAGCCGAGAGAGGCACAGCAUGAGGAAGAAGGAGAUACUGUAAGGUUCAAGAGAGCUAAUGUAGCAGAACAACUAUAGCAAAACAGAAGAACGCCUGG
This is a long non-coding RNA of Suricata suricatta (meerkat), 289 nucleotides long. RefSeq lists it as uncharacterized. NCBI's taxonomy places the organism in Eukaryota, Metazoa, Chordata, Mammalia, Carnivora, Herpestidae. The transcript is spliced from 3 exons. The record is from RefSeq and is a predicted model, not a curated record.